This 465-nucleotide ribosomal RNA is filed under the name uncultured bacterium. RNAcentral describes it as "partial 16S ribosomal RNA". It matches the Rfam family "Bacterial small subunit ribosomal RNA", at positions 338 to 795 of the family's 1533-position model. The record is from RNAcentral.
CCUACGGGAGGCAGCAGUAGGGAAUAUUCCACAAUGGGCGAAAGCCUGAAGGAGCAACGCCGCGUGGAUGAAGAAGGUCUUCGGAUCGUAAAACCGUGUUGAUAGAGAAGAAAGUGCGUGCGAGUAACUGUUGACGUUUCGACGGUAUCUAAACAGAAAGCGACGGAUAACUACGUGCCAGCAGCCGCGGUAAUACGUAGGUGGCAAGCGUUAUCCGGAUUUAUUGGGAGUAAAGGGAACGCAGGCGGUCUUUUAAGUCUGCUGUGAAAGCCUUCGGCUUAACCGGAGUAUUGCAUUUGAAACUGGGGGACUUGAGUGCAGAAGAGGAUGGUGGAACUCAAGGUGUAGCGGUGAAAUGCUUAGAUAUAAGGAAGAACACCAGUGGCGAAAGCGACUGUCUGGGCUGUAACUGACGCUGAGGUUCGAAAGCGUGGGUAUCAAACAGGAUUAGAUACCCUAGUAGUC